GCCAGGCGUGGUGGCUCAUGCCUGUAAUCCUAGCACUUUGGGAGGCUGAGGCAGGUGGAUCACCAGAGGUCAGGAGUUCAAGAUCAGCCUGGCCAACAUGGUGAAAUCCUGUCUCUA
RNAcentral lists this non-coding RNA (117 nucleotides) under Nomascus leucogenys (northern white-cheeked gibbon). Lineage: Eukaryota; Metazoa; Chordata; Mammalia; Primates; Hylobatidae. The record is from Rfam by way of RNAcentral.